This 222-nucleotide unclassified non-coding RNA is filed under the name uncultured Tomentella. RNAcentral's name for it is "sequence contains ITS2". The record is from RNAcentral. Lineage: Eukaryota; Fungi; Basidiomycota; Agaricomycetes; Thelephorales; Thelephoraceae.
ACACCUCAACUCUUCAUGGUUUUCCAUGAUGAGCUUGGACUUUGGGGGACUUGCUGGCCUACGGUCAGCUCCUCUAAAAUAAAUCAGCUUGCCAGUGUUUGGUGGGUAUCGCAGGUGUGAUAACUAUCUACGCUUGUGGUUUUCCACCAAGUAACCUUCAGCAGUGGAGGUUCGCUGGAGCUCACAGAUGUCUCUCCUCAGUGAGGACACAGCCCUUUGAAC